GAUGAACGCUAGCUACAGGCUUAACACAUGCAAGUCGAGGGGAAACGGCAUUAAGUGCUUGCACUUUUUGGACGUCGACCGGCGCACGGGUGAGUAACGCGUAUCCAACCUUCCCAUGACUAAGGGAUAACCUGCCGAAAGGCAGACUAAUACCUUAUGGUCUUCACUGACGGCAUCAGAUGUGAAGUAAAGAUUUAUCGGUUAUGGAUGGGGAUGCGUCUGAUUAGCUUGUGGCGGGGUAACGGCCCACCAAGGCAACGAUCAGUAGGGGUUCUGAGAGGAAGGUCCCCCACAUUGGAACUGAGACACGGUCCAAACUCCUACGGGAGGCAGCAGUGAGGAAUAUUGGUCAAUGGGCGAGAGCCUGAACCAGCCAAGUAGCGUGCAGGAUGACGGCCCUAUGGGUUGUAAACUGCUUUUGUAUGGGGAUAAAGUCAAUCACGUGUGAUUGUUUGCAGGUACCAUACGAAUAAGGACCGGCUAAUUCCGUGCCAGCAGCCGCGGUAAUACGGAAGGUCCGGGCGUUAUCCGGAUUUAUUGGGUUUAAAGGGAGCGUAGGCUGGAGAUUAAGUGUGUUGUGAAAUGUAGACGCUCAACGUCUGACUUGCAGCGCAUACUGGUUUCCUUGAGUACGCGCAACGUUGGCGGAAUUCGUCGUGUAGCGGUGAAAUGCUUAGAUAUGACGAAGAACUCCGAUUGCGAAGGCAGCUGACGGGAGCGCAACUGACGCUGAAACUCGAAGGUGCGGGUAUCGAACAGG
Molecule: ribosomal RNA, 760 nt
Filed under: Prevotella melaninogenica
Lineage: Bacteria; Pseudomonadati; Bacteroidota; Bacteroidia; Bacteroidales; Prevotellaceae
Description: bacterial SSU rRNA
Rfam family: Bacterial small subunit ribosomal RNA
Source: RNAcentral